Molecule: ribosomal RNA, 236 nt
Filed under: uncultured bacterium
Lineage: Bacteria
Description: partial 16S ribosomal RNA
Rfam family: Bacterial small subunit ribosomal RNA
Source: RNAcentral
UACUCCUACGGGAGGCAGCAGUCAGUCCUCAGCACGUGUUCUGGUCUCCAGCAGCCGCGGUAAUACUCCUACGGGAGGCAGCAGUGGGGAAUAUUGGACAAUGGGCGGAAGCCUGAUCCAGCAACGCCGCGUGAGGGAUGACGGCCUUCGGGUUGUAAAGCUCUGUCUUCAGGGACGAUAAUGACGGUACCUGAGGAGGAAGCCACGGCUAACUACGUGCCAGCAGCCGCGGUAAU